AUUCUGCCCAUGCGGGGAAGGAUGAGAAGCUUCGACUAAGGUUCGACUCGAGCGCCAGCGAGAGAGCAUUGCCGCAGGCAACGACCCGUAGGGCGAAGCGCGCAGCGCUGAGUAAUCCUUCCC
RNAcentral lists this small RNA (123 nucleotides) under Escherichia coli. RNAcentral describes it as "partial RtT sRNA". It matches the Rfam family "RtT RNA". From Rfam's summary of the family: This family represents a bacterial cis-regulatory element known as RtT RNA. The exact function of RtT is unknown although it is thought that it may be involved in changing the cellular response in relation to amino acid starvation. Lineage: Bacteria; Pseudomonadati; Pseudomonadota; Gammaproteobacteria; Enterobacterales; Enterobacteriaceae. The record is from RNAcentral.